AGGCACAGACGAGUCCAGAUAUUGUCGAUAAUCAGUUCGACCUGGAAGGAUUCGUUACUUUGGAGUCGUUAUGUCAUCUGACAGUUCAGGAUGCACUAACCAACUCGUUAGAUACCACUCCAGAAACUACGCACGACAGUCUUGAUGACUGGUCACGGUUGGUCUCCUCACCCACAACUCAGUCACCCGGUCAAGGGGAGAAGAAUGAUGUAUUGAUGCCCG
This 222-nucleotide long non-coding RNA is filed under the name Prunus persica (peach). RNAcentral describes it as "long non-coding RNA (PPER_LNC006763)". Lineage: Eukaryota; Viridiplantae; Streptophyta; Magnoliopsida; Rosales; Rosaceae. The record is from RNAcentral.